RNAcentral lists this long non-coding RNA (5620 nucleotides) under Sus scrofa (pig). RNAcentral describes it as "lncRNA (ENSSSCG00050078154.1)". The record is from RNAcentral. Lineage: Eukaryota; Metazoa; Chordata; Mammalia; Artiodactyla; Suidae.
UGUUUUUAAUUUCUUAGUAGAGAAAACAUGUUACCUAAAAUGGAUUAUCCUCACACCUUUAUAGAUAAAUUCUUUUUGUGUGACAAUUUUUUUUUUGACAGGGUAUCAUGAUGAGUAGAUGGAUUGCCAUGUUCACCUAAUAGACCUCAGUUCCUCAAACAUGACUCAAAUUUAGGACAAUUUAGGAUGGAUCAUCACUGUGCAAUUCUUGUGGAUAAUUUAUCUUCUGCCUUACCUCAAAUAUGAAAUAUGUAUUUACCUAAAAUGUAACAUAUUUCUUCCCUCCAAGUUUAUAUAUAUUUUAAUUGGUAUAUUCUAAGUGUGUAUAACAGGUAAAGUAUAUUUUGUCAAGGAGGAACCUAAGCCAGUAUGGGAACAUGGAGCAAAUUCAGAGAAAAAUGUGUCAGUGGAAUUGGUUUUAUAUAACGAAGUCUUUUAAACAUUUUUUUUUGGGGGGGGAUAAAGAGAUUUUCUACUUUACAGGAAAUAAGGUUUAAAAUAAUAAUAUGACAAUAGGAUACUGGCAAAAUAAAAUCCAUAGACAAUUUUAUAUUUAUUUAUUUAUUUAUUUAAUUUUUUUUGUCUUUUUUGCCUUUUUCUAGGGCCGCUCCCAGGGCACAUGGAGGUCCCCAGGCUAGGGGUCUAAUCAGAGCUCUAGCUGCCAGCCUACACCACAGCCACAGCAACGUGGGAUCUGAGCUGUGUCUGCAACCUACACCACAGCUCAAGGCAAUGCUGUAUACUUAAUCUACUGAGCAAGGCCAGGGAUCGAACCUGCAACCUCAUGGUUCCCAGUCAGAUCUGUUAACCACUGCGCCACGACAGGAACUCCGACAGUUUUAUAUUUUAAUAUAGAAACAUAUUUAUUAUCUAUGUAUGUUAUAUAUAAUAUCUUUAUUUUCCCUGUAUAACAUAUAAAGGUUGUCUAUCUCUAUAUUAAGGCCAUAAAGAACUCCUCCAUACUAUGGUACAGCAUAUAAGGAUGGCAAAUAUAAUCCUGUGAAAUAAAGAUAUAUAUGAAUAUCACUAAUAAGCUAUCAAUUUAAACAACACCAGUUAUACCAGACUAGAAUGAGGAUGUUAGGCUGAAGUAAAGAAUUAGUAGUUAAAAAUUUGUGUUACUGUGUACUUAAAAAGAGAAUAAUAAAUGAAAAAACAGAACUGGUCAUAAGUAUAAAAAAAUAGCAAUGCUGGGAGUCUCCAAGUUGUAAGAAAGUAAAAAAAAAAUGCAUUUAUCAUAUUACUUUAUAGAUAAGUUUACAGGAAAUACAUCUCACAUAAACCUUACUUAUAAGGUUAUGAGCUUCUGAGAUCUUACCUUGUCCCCAUGUACAUAAAUUUCUUGUCAGUAAUACUGAACUACAAUUAGGAAAAACAAUUUAUUUAAAAUAUUUUAUGUCCACAUCCAUGGACAAUGGAAGUCCCUGGAUCAGGGACUGAAUCUGAGCCACAGCCACAGCAACGCAGAUCCUUUAACACACUGGGCCAGGCCAGGCUGGGGAUCAUAUCAGCACCUCCACAAGGACCUGAGCCACAGUAGUCAGAUUCUUAACCCACUGCACCACAGAAGGAGCUCUAAAGAGACAUUUUAAAUAAAUGGAAGAGUAAUAUACAUCUUGUUUUGAUGCACUGAUGAAAUAGUGCAACCGUGCUGCAGAAAAGAAAUUACAUUGGUAAGUGCUGAUUUUUCCAUAAGAUAAUGGAGGAUUGAAGAACUGUUUCUUACCGGUUUCUGAGUUGUGAGGAAGGCAUAAGGUUACCUUUUCAUAGCUUAUUAUCCACUAAUAUUUUUCACUGGACACAAAACAUACUGUAUAUUGUACCAAUAACACUGGGUACUCAAAAUCCCUAGCCUCCAAAAAUCGCUUUUCGCAUCUCAGUGCAAGAUAGAAACCCCCUUUUCUUUCAUCAAGAGAUCACAAAAAUUCACAUGUAUACAUUGAUUUAAUGUUCACUAAGUACACAACAUUUUUGAGAAGGGAAUAAGAAGAUCUUAAAGUCACUAACUGGCUAAGAAUUUGGAAAGAUAUUAAGUUAGAAAUUGACCAUGGGAAGCAUCUUCAUAAUUCUGCCAUAACUUUUCUUUUUUUAUUCCUGACUCUUUAGUUAGCCUCUUCCCUCUCAAUUUUGUCCCUUCUUAUUGAUGUGAUUAAGUAUUUGUAGAAAACACAAAUAUUACAUAAAAUUUGGCACUGCCAUUUCCAAAGUGGUCAUUAGCAUUUGUGAAAAUAUUUGAAUAAUUAAUCUCAAAGAAAAGAGGAACAGUCCUAUUCUCCCUCUUUUCUUUCUUUUUUUUUUUUUUUCCACACCUACAGCAGCAGCAUCCAGGACAAGUAUUCAACCCGCGCCACAGCAGAGAUGCCGCCAGAUCCUUAACCCAGUAAGCCACCAGGGAACUCCAUACUGUUAUGUUGAUGAAUUACCAAUAGCAGGAUGCUCAUGGAAAUGAACCUGAAAUUCUCAUGUUUUACUAUGUUUUGUCAUAGAAGAAAUACUACAUUUAAAAUUACCAAAACAUCUGGAUAUUGGCACAGUACAACACCGCAUGAAAUAUUUCAUUUACCUGUCAUAAAAUGUCUGUCUCAGCUUCCCCAUGUGCUUCAUGACAUGCACAGUGAGAACUAUUUAUGGGUUAUUUUCCAUGCUCUGAGGCUUCCUUAGGAGAUACCAGACAAUUUCCUUAAUGUCCCCAAAGCAUUGAAAUCUUCAGAGAAACAAGGGAAGGGAUGUGUUUAUUAGCAGUUCAAAACAAUUGUAUUCACCAAUGAGUUAGGUUUACUUGUGUGUGUUUCAUUACAGCUUUUACUGUUGAUUAGUUUCCUACAGACUGGUCUUCUGAUAUAGUCUAAUAUAACCAUCUAUGUAUCUGAAGUAAUAUAUUUCAUCUGUACAACAAGUGUGUCAGUGUUCCUCUAACUCCGCCAUGGUCUCCUCAAGUGGGUGACACAAUAGAAACGGGUUUAAUCUGUCUUAUUGCAUUAUUGAAAAUAUUUAAAUGCACCAACAGAGUAAUAUGUUGCAUCUAGAAAAGAUCCUGAUUCCUUCUCUGUUUCUUUUUUUAACUCUUGGGUGAGGAAUUAGUAACUCCUAUUUCUCAUUCUCAUUUCACAAAGAACCAUCAUCUUUUUAUUUCAGAUUUCUCUUUCAUUAUAUUUACCUUCAUUAAGUUUCAAUAUUUUUCCCCAUCAGGUCCAGUACCUGCUCAAGUUCUUCUUGUACAUUCACAGAUUCUACUCUAGUUCAUAUAUGUCUUACAUGAUAUAUUCUGCAACGAGGUAAUGUUUAUAUGCAUAUAUUUUACUGUUCUUGUACAUUAUUGAGCUGUAAAAUUGUUUCACUAUUUGUGAUAUACCAUAUCGUGACUAUUUUUCUCUGCUUUUUUAUUCAUUACUGUCAACAUACAUUUAAAAUUAAGGGAUCUUUUCUUCCUUAGUAGAUAUUUUGUUUUUCUCCAUCCUCAGCUAUCACUACUACAACCUAUAGUCCAAUGAAAAGCCUUGACUUUGCCACAUUAAUAGGUUGUGAACAAAUUCUCCAUGAUACACAUAUCACAUAUCCACCUCUGUGAGUGUUCCUGUAUAGAUAAAGAAAUAGACAAAUCUAUACUUCCUCCUAUACAUAUUUCCAUGCUCAGCCACUCACAUAGUAGAGAGAUCUCCUGAUAAUAACAUGGAUAAUACUCUUUUGUGAACUAUUUCAGAUUGGUUGUACAAUUUUUCCCCCAUAAUAUAUGAGGUUUCCUGGAUCAUCACCUCUCUGACUGGUACCUAAAUCAUAUUCUUUCUUAGUAAGUCUUAUUUUUAUGAGGUGUAUCUCCCCCUUGUUUAUGGUUUGAUUUUUGGCUUGUUUAGGAGUAAAUGAUCACCUUUUUGAGGCGUCAUUGAAUUCAAUGAACCGGACAUAUAUAAAGUGUAAGACUUUAGGUUUUUAACAUACAUAUGCACCUGAGAAAGAACGAAAACUUUCUAGAUAAUGAACAUUAUCUAUCACCCCUAAAUAGUCUUAAUGUCCAGGUAGUACUUACUUUCUACCCUUUCCUUACCCCAUGCUCUCCUUGGAAGCUCUAGACUUGAUUUUUUUUUUAAAUUUUAUGUUGAAGUAAGUAUAAAGUUAUAAGAAACUUCAAAAGAGAGAACAGAGAGUUCCAGUGUCCUUAGUUUUUCUAGUGGUUACAACUUACAUAAAUAUUUUACAAUAUCCCAACCACAUCAACACUGAUAUAAUCCACUGACUUUGUUCAGAUUUCACCAGUACUGCAGCUAUGCCUUUGUGUAUUUAUAUCAUAUUAUGCAACUUCAUCAUACGUGUACAUUUGUAUAACUACCACAAAAGUCAACAUACCAACCUAUUUCACCACCACAAGUAUUUCUUAUGACAUUCCUUUAUAGCCUGGGCCGCUUUCCUUCUUUAAUACUUAAUUUUAAACCUAUUCAACCACAAAUCUGUUUUUCAUCCCAAUAAUUUUAUCUCUGAAAAACAUUUUAUGAGGAAAUACCGUUUGUAACCUUUUGCACAGUAAUUUUCAUGAGGUUCAUCAUGUUUUUUCAUGUAUCAGUUAUUAGUGCUUUAUCAUUAGUUUAUGACUAUGUUCAUUAUUAUUCCAUGAUAUUGAUCAUACAGUUUGUUCAGUUAUUCACUCUGAAAUAUAUUUGAGUUGUUUCCAACUUUCACCUAUUACAGAUAGAGUUCUAUCAACUUCUGUACAAAGGUGAUUGUUUGAGCUCAAAACAUCAUCCUCAGUUCUCUAAGGUGACUUUCUAAACCUAUACUUCAUUGAAAGUCUAAUUUAUGGAGUUCCCAUCAUGCUCAGAGGAAGCAUAUCUGACUAGUAUCCAUGAGGAUGCUGGGUUGAUUCCUGGCCUUGCUCAGUGGGUUAAGGAUCCAGUAUUGUCUUGGGCUGUGGUAUAGGUUGCAGACACGGCUCGGAUCCCACGUUGCUGUGGCUCUGGUGUAGGCCAGUGGCUACAGCUCUGAUUGGACCCCUAGGCUGGGAACCUCCAUAUGCCAUGGGAGCAGCCCAAGAAAUAGCAAAAAGACCAAAAAAAAAAUAAAAUAAAUAAAUAAAUAAAAAUAGUGUCAUAAAUUGUAAAUGUUGUUUUAUAGGUGAAGGUACACUAUUGUAUCCUCUUUUAUAAAAUGAGAAUCACAUAAUAAAAUUUAGAAAAUUAAAAAUCUCAUAAUGCACAUUCUAAUAACAUCAUAAAAAUUAAAAUCCAAAUUCCAAUUAUGUGUGGGAACAUUUAGAAGCCCCUGAUUUAAAACGCACUCAUCUGAAAGCCCUUGUGUCUGUAGGUAGUACAGCACAAAAGGCUUAAUGCACUUAAACCAUAUUAGAUAGAGGUGUAAUUAAAAAUGAAAUUUUGGACUUCCUGUCCUGGCGCAGCAGAAACAAAUCCUACUAGUAACCAUGAGUUUGCAGGUUCGAUCCCUGGGCUCGCUCUGUGCGUUAAGGUUCGCUCUGGUGUAGGUCACAGGCAUGGCUCGGAUCUGGCAUUUCUGUGGCUGUGGCGUAGGCCGGCAGCAACAGCUCGCAUUUGACCCAUAACCUGAGAACCUCCAUAUGCCGCAGGUUCGGCCCUAAAGAGAGACAAGAAGACCAAAAAAAAAAAAAAAAAAAAAA